RNAcentral lists this long non-coding RNA (37433 nucleotides) under Hordeum vulgare. RNAcentral describes it as "long non-coding RNA (HVUL_LNC004431)". The stretch from base 10257 to 10391 matches the Rfam family "MIR1120/MIR1122 microRNA precursor family". Lineage: Eukaryota; Viridiplantae; Streptophyta; Magnoliopsida; Poales; Poaceae. The record is from RNAcentral.
UCUUAUCUGUGUAAGCGUUUUGCUUCCAUGGUUCACACCAAGUUCUCUACGCCUAUUCUUGUAUAUUGUGAUGACUCUGGUCGAGAAUAAAUAUCCAAGAUGUUGCGUUCAAUCCUUGUUGUGGAGGGUGGUCUUGCUCGGUUCUCUUAUCCUGGUGCUCAUACUCAGAAAUGGCAUGGCUGAGGGCAAGCAUCAUCAACUAUUGAGACGACUCGUAGGUUCAAUGUCACUGCUCUCUCUUCCGGCACACGUUUGGAUGGUCACUACCUCACUUACGCCACACUUUUGGGUUGAAUGUGUCUCCACUUCCACCAUGGUCAUCUCCUUUCGAGAGUCUAUUUGAUCGUUUCCAUAUUAUUCAGCGCUUCAAUUGUUUGGUUGUGUUUGAUGUGCCCUUACUGCCUGUCAUGAAUGUACCAAACUUACUACUUAGUCUGUUGAGUGUUCAUAGGAUACAACGAUGAGCAUAAGAGAUAAUGUUGUUAGGAUCAUGUUGGUCAUCGGGUGACUAUUUCUCACGGUAUGACUUUUGAUGAGUCCCGGCCCUUCUACGUGUGACCAUCUUCCCCGGCCUUUUCAGUGGAGGAUAUUUGUUACCUCACUUUUCCCGACACUCCUAUCACCAUUGUUGAGCCCUAGUCCAUUCCUCGUACUGCUCCUACUUCUCCAAUUAUUCCAGAUUCAGCACCAUCAUCUCCUAUGAUCUCCUCACCUCACUUAUCAUGGGAUCCUAAACCUUCAUCACCGGUGACUUCCUUGCCUCCAUAACCUGAGUUUAUCUCAAUGAUUCUUGAGCCGACUUCUUAUUGUGAUGUUGUUGUUCAUCCAAAAUGGCAGUUUGCGAUAGCAAAGGAGAUUGUUGCUCUUGAGCGCAGCAGCACCUGGGGUCUUGUUUCUCUUCCUCUUUGUGUUCGUCCCGUCACAUGUUAAGACUCGCUCUGAUGGUUAUGUUCAGCGUUACAAAGCUCGUCUUAUGGCUCGUGGCUUUUUGCUCACGUGAACCAUAUGACCAUUUUUUGCACAUUCGCCAUUGUUCUAUAUCUCAACUUGAUGUUAAGAAUGUCUUUCUUAAUGGAGAGCUAUGCGAGGAGCUUUACAUGCAGCCACCACCUAGGUAUUAUGUUCCGUACGACAUGAUUUGUCGUGUUCGUCACUCUCCAUGGCCGGAAGCAAGCCCUCUUGUCUGCUUUGAGCGUUUUGCUCUGCGGUGUUUGUCGUUGGUUUCAGCGAGUACUCAUGAUUUGUUGUUGAUCCACCUUUCUGCUCUUGGUCGUACUCUUCUAUAAGUUGAUGACAUGUUCACCACUAGCAAAGAGACUAAGUAUAUUGCCUUUGUGAAGGCACAUAUUAGUGAGCAGUUUCUUAUGUCUAAUAUUGGCCCACUUUGUUACUUUCUUUUGGAUCAAGGUCUCUUGUUGGUGAAGAAAAGUAAUCCUAGAUCUUCUUGCUCGUGCUGCUCUUACUGUGUUUCUCUUAAUGAUGAGUGCAUCAUUGACUCCCAUGUAGCUCAAUAUUCAUCUUCGUGCUACUGAUGGUGACCCUUUGUCUGCUUUGACACGUUAUCGUCAUCUUGUUGGGAAUCUUCUAAGCUGCCACUCGCCCGGAUAUCUCCUACCAUGUCCAUAUUUUGAGUAAGUUUGUCUCUACCCCCACUUCGGCUCACUAGUCAUCUUCUUUGUGUGUUUUGAUAUUUUCAUGGCACGAUCGAUCACUAUCUAUUUUUUCCCGUUCCCAUUCAUUAUAGCUCCAUGCAUGAUGUUGCGUGUGCUAGUGAUCCCUCGGAUCGUCGUUCACUUUUUGCUUACUGUGCAUUUCUAGUGGUUCUCUAAUUGCUUGGAAGAAGAACCAGACCGUAGUGCGCCCCGUACGAGUGCACCUCCUCCUCCAACGCAUGAUGCUACGUGGGCUAGUGAUUCCUUCGAUGAAGAACCACACUGCAGUGCCCCGUACAAGUGCACCUCCUCCUGCAACGUCAACGCCGUCGUGCCACUAUCCAGCUCUACCCUCCACUAUAUGUUGUACGACAUUGCUUUCGCGGCUAGGAUGGUGGCGAAGUCGCUAGCGCUAAUGCCACUCGCACGAUGUCGCUAGAGCCUUCAUGCUCUCAAGUGGCACGAACAACCGAGGGGACAAUGUUGCCAUGGCCGCUGGCCUUCCCUCUCUCAGAUCGUGAAGUGACUACUAGAAAUAGUCUAGCGUUUAGGGAAAUGAGGCCCAAAUAGAAUUGUUGAGGUGAGUUAGGCUCACUACCAAAAUGGUUGGUAUAUUCUUCUCCAAAGUGGGCCAUUUGCAUAACAGGACCGAGUGGGAUAUGGUCAUACUCUAUCAAGCCCAAAUGAUAAUCUUCUUUUCUCAAUAAACUUUAACCCCGACUUUCAAAUAAUAAUUUGACCCAAACACUAGACAUAGCAUUUACCAUAAUUCUUUAUACAUCACACCAUAUUUCUAGAAACUACCAACAUGUAAGUCGUAUGAAAGAAAGGAAUAAAUCUGCGCAAGUAAUUUACAUGCAACCUGUUAGAGUUAUAAUAUAAGUCAUGUACCCUUUUGUAUUUAUCCCAAUAUAUAAGGGGUUUCCUGCAUAUAGUCCACCACAUGUACAUGUAUAUAUACUGGCCUAUGGCCUCAUGGGAAUACAAGUUGUUUUCCUAACAUGGUAUUAGAGCCUUAGGUUAUUUUUUUCGCACGCGCAACUCGUGCUCCGAUCCAAUCUCCACGCAGCCGUCGUCUGUCUGCUGCUACCUCUCUCGAUCUCCUCCUACGGCUGCUUCUCGCAGGAUUGAAUCCUGCCGCAGGUGCCCACGCUGCCGAGUCUUCCUCCCCCCUCCUGCUGCUCCCGCGGGUUCUGCUCGUCUGUGCCUCCCCGUCCUGCCGCCGACUCCUCGUCUGCUCCCGCCGGCCCGGCUCGAAGCCUCCAGAUCCCGCCGGAUCGGAUCGGGUGAGUGAGCUCGUCCCGCUCGAGCUCCCGGUCCAACACGUCCAGGUCCAUACUUGCUCCCAUCACCGGCCCUGUUCGAAGCCUCCAGAUCCCGUCACCGCUCCAGGUCAAACUCCCAGAAGCGGCUCCCAGACUAGCACUGCCAGGAUCUGCCUGUUUCCCUGAUCUAGUCUGAUCUCCAGCUUGGAUCAAGGCUCUGCUCCCGGUCGUGCUCUCCAGGUCGCGCCGUCCUCUGCACAAUCCCGAUCUGGAUUCCAGGCACUGCUGAUCCAAUCCCGAUCCAGAUUAGAGCCCGUCACCACCAGCUCCCGAUCCGGAUUAGAGCCAGGCUCUACUACAAAACUACUGCCUGCUAGCUCCCGUCACCACCAGAUCCCGAUCUCGUCGCCCCUCGCUGCUGAAUUCGUCGGAUUUCGUCGGAUUCUCCUGUCUCGACGUGAUCUCAAAAAAAAAGAGUAAAAAAAAUGUCUGCUGCAUCCGGCUACGUUGUUGUUCCUCGUUGUCCGGUGAUCUUUGAUGGCACUAACUACACCGAGUUCAUUGGCUUCAUGCGCAUUCACAUGCGUGGCAUCCGCCUAUGGGGUUUUCUUUCCGGCGAGGUCUGCUGUCCGCCAUGUCCGGUUCCUCCCGUGGCUCCCACUCCGCCGACCCCACCGGCUCUUCCUGCGGAUGCUUCUCAGGCCGCAAAGGAUGCGACUAAGCUUGCUGAUGAGGCCGCUGUGAGUGCUUAUGAUGAGAAGGUCUUGGCUUAUGAGGAGGCUCUUCAGGUGUAUCAUGGUGCUCUGUCCGUUUACACCCAGUGGCUUGAUGAUGAUGCUCGUGUUGUCGCUGUUCUCACUGCUAGUGUUCUGCCUCAGUUUGCUUCUGAGUUUCUGGGCCUUCCUACUGUAUUUGAGAUGUGGACCCGCCUUCGUCAGCGCUAUGAGCCCUCUGGUGAUGCCUUAUACCUCUCUGUGGUCCGUCAGGAGCAUGCUCUUCAGCAGGGUGACUCUACUGUUGAUGACUUCUAUGCACAGAGUUCUACUAUCUGGCGCCAGCUUGAUUCUCUCCGCAGUGCUGGUUGUCGUACUUGCCCCUGUUGCCAGGCUGUCCAGGCCGACUUGGAGUUUCAUCGCGUCUACGAGUUCCUGUCUCGGCUCCGUAAGGAGUUUGAGCCCCGGCGUGCUCAGUUGUUUGCUCGUGGCCGUAUUUCUCUCAUGGAGGCGCUUUCUGAGAUUCGUGCUGAGGAGACUCGCUUACGUGGUGCUGGUUUGCUGGAGGUUCCCUCGGUGCUCGCUGCUCGGACUUUUUCUACGCCACCUGCUGCACCGACCCCUUCUCGCUCGAGUGCUCCGCCACUCUUGCCCACUCCUUCUGGCGGCUCAGGUCGCCCCCGUCCACAUUGUAACUACUGCAACAAUGAUGGUCAUAUUGAGUCCCACUGCUACACGAAGAAGAAACACUUGCGCAAGGCGCGGACAUCAUCUACAGCGACUUCGUCAUCUACCUCGACAGCUUCAGCCAUCGCUUUGACUGAGCAGGAUAUUCUGAGACUUAAGCGUCUGCUCGCUGCUUCAGGUUCUUCCUCAACGGGUACUGCUGGUUCUGUGACUGAGGCUUCCCGCACUGAGCAACCACCUUCUACACAGUCAGGUACAUCCCCAUGGGUUCUGGACUCUGGAGCUUCCUUUCAUAUGACUUCUAAUUCUUCCACUCUGUCCUCUCUUCGAUCGCUUGCUUCUCCUGUUCAUGUCCUCACCGCUGAUGGUACUCCCCUUCCUGUCGUUAGUAGAGGCACUCUUACCACUCCUUAUUCUGUUCCUGAUGUUGCUCAUGUUCCUCGACUUACCAUGAAUUUGUUUUCCGCUGGUCAACUUGCUGAUUCUGGUUGUCGUGUCAUCCUUGACCUUGACUCUUGUUCUGUCCAGGACCGUCGCACGCGCACUCUGGUUGCGGCUGGUCCUCGCCGCCGUGAUUCUGAGGGUCUUUGGGAGUUGGACUGGCUUCAUGUUCCUUCCGCUGCCCACUCUAUCGCUAGUUCUUCCGCUUUGGUCGCCUCGGCUACUGGUUCUUUCCAGCAGUGGCAUCAUCGACUUGGUCAUCUGUGUGGUUCUCGUUUGUCGUCGUUAGUUCGUCGAGGUCUUCUGGGGUCUGUCUCAGGAGAUGCCUCCUUAGAGUGUCAGGGUUGUCGUCUUGGCAAGCAGAUUCAGUUACCAUAUCCACAUAGUGAGUCAGUGUCUAAGCGUCCUUUUGAUUUAGUCCAUUCCGAUGUAUGGGGUCCGGCUCCCUUCGCUUCGAAAGGGGGUCAUAAAUACUAUAUUAUUUUCAUAGAUGACUUCUUUCGUUACACAUGGCUUUAUUUCAUGACUUCUCUAGUGAGGUGUUGUCGCAGAUUCAGUUACCAUAUCCACAUAGUGAGUCAGUGUCUAAGCGUCCUUUUGAUUUAGUCCAUUCCGAUGUAUGGGGUCCGGCUCCCUUCGCUUCGAAAGGGGGUCAUAAAUACUAUAUUAUUUUCAUAGAUGACUUCUCUCGUUACACAUGGCUUUAUUUCAUGACUUCUCGUAGUGAGGUGUUGUCCAUUUAUAAGCGUUUUGCUGCCAUGGUUCAUACUCAGUUCUCUUCUCCCAUUCGUGUGUUUCGUGCUGACUCCGCUGGCGAGUAUAUCUCUAAGAUGUUGCGUGGUGUUCUUGCUGAGCAAGGGACUCUCUCUCAAUUCUCUUGUCCUGGUGCUCAUGCUCAGAAUGGCGUGGCUGAGCGCAAGCAUCGUCAUCUUCUUGAGACGGCUCGUGCAUUGAUGAUUGCUGCCUCUCUCCCGCCUCAUUUUUGGGCUGAGGCCGUCUCCACCUCCACCUAUCUCAUCAAUUUCCAGCCUUCCGCUGCUCUACAGGGUGGUGUUCCUUUCGAGCGUCUUUUUGAUCGUUCUCCUGAUUAUUCGAUGCUUCGCUUGUUUGGUUGUGUUUGCUAUGUUCUUCUUGCCCCCCGCGAACGCACCAAACUGACCGCUCAGUCUGUUGAGUGUGUCUUCUUAGGCUAUAGUGAUGAGCAUAAGGGCUAUCGUUGUUGGGAUCCUAUCGGUCGUCAGAUGCGUAUCUCUCGGGAUGUGACUUUCGAUGAGUCUCGUCCCUUCUACGCACGCCCAUCUUCCUCGACUUUUUCAGUGGAGGAUGUCUCUUUUCUCACUUUUCCUGACACACCUAUCACACCUGUCGAGCCUUUGCCUAUUCGUUCCGCUCCCUCUGCUUCUCCACCUCCAGUCGAUUUGUCGCCACCAUCUUCCACGGUCUCCUCGUCUAGCAUGUCACUGGAGUCUACACCUUCCUCUCCGGUGACUUCUUCGUCGUCACUCCCCAAUUCUACCUUGGCGAUUCCUCCUUCCAUUGUUCCAUCUUUUCCUCAGUAUUACACUCGUCGUUCACGUUCUGUGGAUGCCUCUGUGGAUGUGUCAUCAUCCUCAUCUCAGCCUACUUAUGGUUUGCGUUCUCGUCCUCGUCCGCCUGUUGAUCGCUUUGGAUUUUCCACCGCUGGUGCUGCUGUUCUUGAGCCGACUACUUAUCAUCAGGCUGUUGUUCAUCCUGAAUGGCAGUUUGCGAUGGCAGAGAAGAUUGUUGCUCUUGAACGCACUGGUACGUGGGAUCUUGUUUCCCUUCCUCCCGGAGUUCGUCCCAUCACUUGUAAGUGGGUCUACAAGGUUAAGACUCGCUCUGAUGGUUCUCUUGAGCGUCACAAAGCUCGUCUUGUGGCUCGUGGUUUUCAGCAGGAGCAUGGUCGUGCUUAUGACGAGACUUUUGCUCCUGUGGCUCAUAUGACCACUGUUCGUACACUUCUUGCCGUGGCCUCUACACGCCACUGGUCUAUCUCUCAGCUUGAUGUUAAGAAUGCUUUUCUUAAUGGUGAGCUGCGUGAGGAGGUGUACAUGCAGCCACCACCUGGGUAUUCUGUUCCUGAUGGCAUGGUAUGUCGUCUUCGUCGCUCUCUCUAUGGCCUUAAGCAAGCCCCCCGUGCCUGGUUUGAGCGUUUUGCCUCUGUGGUGACUGCCGCUGGUUUUUCACCCAGUGUUCAUGAUCCAGCAUUAUUUAUUCACCUUUCUCCUCGUGGUCGGACUCUUCUUCUUCUCUAUGUUGAUGAUAUGGUCAUCACUGGGGAUGACCCCGAGUAUAUUGCCUUUGUCAAGGCCCGUCUUAGUGAGCAGUUCCUUAUGUCUGAUCUUGGACCUCUUCGCUACUUUCUUGGGAUUGAAGUUUCUUCUACCUCUGAUGGCUUCUUUAUAUCCCAGGAAAAGUAUAUCCAGGAUCUUCUUGCUCGUGCUGCUCUUACUGAUGAGCGCAUUGUUGAGACUCCUAUGGAGCUCAAUGUUCACCUAUGCGCUACUGAUGGUGAUCCCCUGCCUGACCCGACGCGUUAUCGUCAUCUUGUUGGCAGUCUUGUUUACCUGGCUGUCACUCGUCCGGAUAUUUCUUAUCCGGUUCAUAUUCUGAGUCAGUUCGUCUCUGCUCCUACAUCGGUUCACUAUAGUCAUCUCCUCCGUGUUCUCCGAUAUCUUCGGGGCACGAUCUCUCACCGUCUAUUCUUUCCUCGCUCCAGUUCUUUACAGCUUCAGGCCUAUUCGGAUGCUACGUGGGCUAGUGAUCCUUCAGAUCGCCGUUCACUUUCUGCUUACUGUGUUUUUCUUGGUGGUUCUCUCAUUGCCUGGAAGACGAAGAAACAGAUUGCAGUUUCCCGUUCAAGUGCAGAGGCUGAGUUGCGAGCGAUGGCUCUUUUAACGGCAGAGGUGACUUGGUUACGGUGGUUACUUCAGGAUUCUGGUGUUUCUGUCACUACACCGACUCUACUCUUAUCUGACACUACAGGUGCUAUUAGCAUUGCGCGCGACCCUGUGAAGCAUGAGCUCACCAAGCAUAUUGGCGUUGAUGCUUUCUAUGUGAGCGCUGCUGUGCAGGAUCAAGUUAUUGCUCUUCAGUAUGUGCCUUCCGAGUUACAGUUGGCGGAUUUCCUGACGAAGGCCCAGACUAGAGCACAACAUGGCUUUUAUCUCUCCAAACUCAGUGUUGUUCAUCCACCAUGAGUUUGAGGGGGUGUUAAGAGUUAUAAUAUAAGUCAUGUACCCUUUUGUAUUUAUCCCAAUAUAUAAGGGGUCUCCUGCAUAUAGUCCACCACCUAUACAUGUAUAUAUACUGGCCUAUGGCCUCAUGGGAAUACAAGUUGCUUUCUAACACAACCAUCAUACUUCCUCUGUACCUAAAUAAUUAUAGUUGGACUACAAUUAUUUAGGUACAGAGGGAGUAAUUAUAUUGUUUUAGAAAUCCUAGGUAGCUUUGACUAGAUGUCUACACCCAUGUCUAUACUCUACAACACUAAAUAGAAAGGUGUGCUUUAAUUUAUUAACAUUAGACGAUAAUCUCUAUGCCCAACCUAGGGGUGUGCAUUACGUGAUGGAAAAUGCAAAAAACUCUCAACUUUGCCAAAAAUUUAGGAAAGUAAUUGUAACUCACUAAACAGUUAUAUUUGCGAUUUCAAAAGGAAGAUAUAAUGACAAGGUGUUUAACAAAUAUGCAUGCAUGGUGUACCAUUCUUAUAGCGAACAAAAUAAAUAUCAGGAUAGAUACUAAGGGUCAGUUCUUUUGGGUGGCUUAAAAAAAUAAGCUGCCUUUCCCCAGCUUAAAAAAUAAGCCGCUCUCAAAAUUUGUUGAGGCUUCUAAACUUGCAAUUUCACAACUAGUUCAAAAGCCUCAAUGAAUGAUGAAGGCAGCUUAUGGAAAAAGCUGGAGAGGAGCCGUCAAAAGAACUGGCCCUAAGAAAUAGAAUGCAUACCACCACGAACACCGCCACCACUAGCUCCGUCACGGAAUGUUGUGUGAUAAAAGCCCACCAUGCUCACUCAAGAACCUCAACUGACAUGUUGAAUUUGUAACUGAAAUGUAAAACACAAACAUAAGGGAUCCAACUUCAAAAUAAUAUAAACAAUGAGCAAAGCAACAUAUAGAAGUAUAAAAAAACAUACCCCUCAUCCAAGAUACCAUAAGCAUACAAUAAAUAUACACAGAGCUACAGAACCGGCUUCCCUUGAGCCUUGCACCCUCGCUUAUCAACAUAGUACCAAGAUCGGACCCUAGAAAAAGAGCAGGAUUUAGAAAAAGAGCAGAAUUGUUAAGCAUAGACCUAAGUACAGCUUAACGACACUAAAAUAUGUCAAAGGGCCACUCACAGUUCCAUCAAAUCCAACAAUCAUUGUACCGACUAAAAGUACCAUCCUACGGUAUGAAAAUCCAGGAUAUUAGCCAAUGUGUUUAAAGAACCGACAAUAGAGAUCCUUCGCUUCUUCACGAGCUCAUGAACCUCUGAAGGAAGAAACUAUUGUUAUUCCUACUAUGUUUACUAUUAAAGGGGAGUGAGGUCUUGAUGGUAGGCCAUAGUAUGUCGAUUCGCAUGUUCGUGUGUCUUCCCCCUCUCUCAAACAAAUUCUCGCCGAUGAGUGGACCCACCAUGUCUUGCCCCUGCCUCAUGGACUCGCUCGCCCCAACCUGAUUCUUCUUCCUCUCUCGUGAAGAGCGAGCUCAACCAACUAGGGUUGCUAUUGUGUUCAAUCGUCGACACCUCGCAUCGCUGCCCUGGUUGCUAUCGAACACACCAACCAAGAAUUGCAUUGUCGAACACAAGCCUAAGGUCGCCCUCGUUUGUAGAUGCAAGAUGUAGCUCACCGUCUUCUAUAUCAUGUACGACCUUCAUCUCUACCUACUUCCCAGCGCAUCGAACAGAGGCACCGCAGCAGCUACUCGAGUUGUAUGUAAGUCAUGGAUUCAAGAGAGGUUCUUGGAGUUCUCAUGGUCCAUGCUCGCCGCCGCCGAAAGGGUGGAAGAGUCGAUUUGUUAGGCUUGCCUAGUGUUUGUCUUCAAUACCAACGCAUUCCUUUGUCAUCACUAAGAUUUUGUCUCGCUCACUACUUGUUUCUUGCACUAUAUGGACAGAUCUAGCUUCUUCAUUUAUCCAUAAUUUUUCUUUAAAGUCCAUCGACCAAAUGUACAAGAGCUUGGCGACUCUUUUCUCGCUGCAGCUAAAACUUUAUAUUAAAGUGAACUUUAGUUUUGUUGGUUUCUUGUUCAUAUAAACCGGCGGCAAGAAACAAGACUAGAUUAACCACGACAACAUCAACCAAGUUUAUGAGCAUGUGCCUGGACCCUCCUGUAUGGCGGUUGAUCCACUUUACAUGAAGAUUAAAGUCAUCUACAUCAAUAUAUUAAUUUUGCUUCUGGUAUGCAUUUCUUGGAGAAAUCUUAGGGCAAAUAUUUUUCUUAUCUUUUGCUUCCUUUAGAAAUUUUGGAGAAAUUUAAUGUAGGCACCUUCAGUUCUAUUACCUCCGUCCCAAAAAUUUUGUCUUAGAUUUAUCUAGAUACAGAUGAAUCUAACACUAAAACGUGUUUAGAUACAUCUCUAUCUAGACAAAUCUAAGUCAAGCUUUUUGGGACGGAGGAAGUAUAACAUAGUUGAAUCUAAAAAUUACUACAAUUAGCAUUGUAAUCACAGCGGUGGGCUAAUUCUGUAAAGAAAUACAACAAUGUAACGUUCUUGGUUAAACUUCAGUUCUGCAUAUACUCCCUCCGUCCCAAAAUAAGUGUCGCUGAUUUAGUACAGAAGUUAGUGACACUUAUUUUGGGACGGAGGGGGUACUUAGUAAUGCAAAUUCAAGAAUGCUGCAGGCAUGUCGUCAUUGAAGUCUUGAUAGAUAUUUUGUUUAUCUGUAUUUACGUGCAUUAACAGAGUUACUAAUCUUGUUCUGAUAUUUCGUCAAUAGAAGACUGGAUUGUGUCUACAACCAUUGUGCAUCACUAUGAUCCAAAUAUUGGCAAUUCGAGGUGGAUUUCACUUGUGGUAGCACACAAUUCAGAUAGCACCUGGGACUUUAGUCACAGAUGAUGGGAUAUAGGAUUCACAUCGGUGCAGAGUGAGUACCAUGCAAAUGAAAUGUUGGUUGCAAUAUUAAUGAUCUGCCUCUUUGUGGAGGUAAAAAUAGUUCAAAAAAGCGCUAGGCGUUAAUUGUGCGUUUUGCCACCGCCUUGAGCUUUUCUGACCAAAGCGCAUGCUUAUGCGCAAUUAUGCGCAGAUUAAGCGCAGUUAUGUGCUAGGCGUUUUGCUAUCGCCUAGAUCCUAGGCGCACUUAAGCGCUCGCUUAGGCGUGCCUUUUUUAACUAAAAUUGAUAAGAGUUAAGCUUGAGAAAUAUUUUUCCAUCGAUCUUUUAGUCUAGCAAGUAAAUAUCUUUUCCGUCGUUCUUUUAGCUCGAUGUAAAGAAUAUAAUUGUUUGUGCAGCCACAAGUAUGCUAUCUUCUGUUUCGUAAAAAAGAUGUAAGUUUGACUAUUACAACAUAAAAGAUGUUCGCAUUUGUAAGAUAGAUAUUAUUUUAGAUUUAUCAUGUUCUGGGUUUGUCAUGUCCUGUAAAUUACUCCCUCCAUCCCAUAAUAUAAGAACAUUUUGCAAGCUAAAACAGCUAAAUGAUCUUUAUAUUAUGGGACGGAGGGAGUCAGAUAAGUCNNNNNNNNNNNNNNNNNNNNNNNNNNNNNNNNNNNNNNNNNNNNNNNNNNNNNNNNNNNNNNNNNNNNNNNNNNNNNNNNNNNNNNNNNNNNNNNNNNNNUGUUAGGAGAGCAACUUAUCUCUAUUGAAGGCCCAAGGGGCAUAUAUAUAUUACACAUGACUUGAGGUGCAAGGAAAGUAAACAUAGACUAAUAAGGACUCCUAGACUAAUACUAAUAGACUAAUACUAAUACUUCCUAACAUCCCCCUCAAAUGCAAAGCGUAUGAAAUAGCAUUGUAUUUGAAGAAGUGUAAUACUAAAAAAAAAUGAUAAUCCAAAUCCGCGUCUUGAGAGUGUCGUCGUAGCAUGAAGAGUCUUCAAAACUUGUCGAGUCGUCGAAGGAGAUAACGAAGAGAUGGCACAUCAGAGGUAGACACCGCAUCACUUGAAGAUACUAGAUAAGUAUCAAGAGAAGAUGGGUUGUCAAAAGAAGAUAGCACAUCAAGAGAAUAAAGCAUUGUGUAGAAAAUCAUAGUCCGCGACAACCGACGGCGAAAGAAGCUCGGCGGUUAAGGCACGAUGAACAUAGAUUGUCAAUGCAAAAGAAUUCCAGAAAAUCCUAUAGAAAACAACAAGGGCAAAUAAGCCACAAAAGUUGUAUAGAAAGGAUCAGGAACGAAAGAAAGGCUGACGGACAAUGGUAUGGUGGACUCACAUGGCAUGAGAAACACAAAAUAUCAACGGAUUUGGUGGAAGCAGCGGAAAACAAGGAAGCUAAAAGCUAGGAAGCAUACACGACACAAAGAUGCAAAAUCCAUCGUGUAUGCAGAAGACAUUGUAUUUUUUUUAUUGUUGUUGAAAGCAAAAUAGGAACGGAGCAGAAGCUAGCACGCCGCCAGCCACGUACGUGACGGAAAGGCAGCAGCUAGCAUGCAUGAGCGAACGCAGCAACUAGCAAGCAGGCUAGCAUGCAGCAGCCAGCGUAGCAGAAGAUAGCAGGUAGCACGCAGCAGCAACGUGUGGAGCAGGGGCAGCGGUGGCCAAGAGGAGCACCACGUAGCAGCAGGAACUGCUGGACGAAUAUCGCGAACGCAACAUGCACAUUGACAGCUCAUCGCGAGAUCCAUCAAGCUGCGUGGCCGCGACCUGGAGUGGAGGCGGCGCGACCUGGAGCGGUUGGAUCCAGGAGAGAGCGGGCCUGCGGCGGGCGCAGCCAUGGACGACGGAUCCUGGAGAUUUGGAGAGGGAGGUGACGCAACCUGGAGCGGCGGCGUCGCGAGAUCCGGCAGGGCCGGUGGGAUCCGGCCUGAUCUGCAGCGACUGGGGGCGACUGAAGGCGGCGGGAUCCGGCGACACGAGAACCAGCAACGUGGCCGAGAUGGGAUCCAGCAAGUCUGAGAACCAGCAGCACUUCGAUCUGGACCUGCAGCCUGUAGCUUCGAUUUGGACGGGAACCAGGGCCGGCGGGACCGGCUGAAGAUCGGGGGCCUGCGGGACAAGCCCCCUGCUUCAAUCGAGCAGGACGAGAGGAGAUCGAGUGGGGCUGAAGAGAGGCAGCGGCGGCGGAAUAGAAGAUUGGAUCGGGAGGACGAGUUGCGGCGCCCGAAAAAAAAACCCUAAGCACUAAUACCAUGUUAGGAAAGCAACUUAUCUCUAUUGAAGGCCCAAGGGGCAUAUAUAUAUUACACAUGACUUGAGGUGCAAGGAAAGUAAACAUAGACUAAUAAGGACUCCUAGACUAAUACUAAUAGACUAAUACUAAUACUUCCUAACAGCGCCAACGUUUCAUAGCCUAAGGCGGUCAACAGGCAAAAGUGGACGAGGUCGCAAGCCAUAAGAAGGCCGAGACGGAGAAGAUGGCACAUCAGUAGAUGCAUCCACAACACACGAACGACGCGUAUAAAAGUGAGUCAAAUGUGGAAGAAUACGAGCAAGAAUCCUCGAGAUAAACUCAGGUUAUGGAGACAAGUCACCGGUGAUGAAAGUUUAGAAUCCCGUGAUAAGCGAAGUGAGGAAAUCAUAGGAGAUGAUGGUGCUGAAUCUUUAAUAAUUGGAGAAGCAGGAGCAGUACGAGGAAUGGAUUGGGGCUCAACGAUAGUGAUAGGAGUGUCGGGAAAAGUGAGGUAACACAUCCUCCACUGAAAAGGUCGGGGAUGAUGGUCACACGUAGAAGGGACUGGACUCACUAAAAGUCAUAACGUGAGAAAUAGUCACCAAUGACCAACAUGAUCCUAACAACAGGAUCUCUUAUGCUCAUUGUUGUAUCCUAUGAACACUCAACGAACUAGGUAGUAAGUUUGGUACAUUCACGAGAGGUAGUAAGGGCACAUCAAACACAACCAAACAAUUGAAGCGCUGAAUAAUAUGGAAACGAUCAAAUAGACUCUCGAAAGGAGAUGACCAUGGUGGAAGUGGAGACGCAUUCAACCCAAAAGUGUGGCGUAAGAGAGGCAGUGACCAUCCAACAGUCUGGCGGAAGAGAGAGAACUGACAUUGAACCUACGACCCGUCUCAAUAGUUGACGAUGCUUGCCCUUAGCCAUGCCAUUUCUGAGCAUGAGCAUCAGGAUAAGAGAACUGAGCAAGAGCACCCUGCUCAACAAGGAUUGAACGCCACAUCUUGGAUAUUUAUUGUCCACCAGAGUCAUCACAGUAUACAAGAAUAGGCCUAGAGAACUUGGUGUGAACCAUGGAAGCAAAACCCUUGCACCGAUAAGACCUCCCUACGCAAGGAAAUAAAGUAUAUCCAGGUGUGUUGAGAGAAGUCAUCUAUACAUAUAGUACUGGCGAUGACCUCCUUUCGAGGCGAAAGGAGAUGGACCCCAGACAUCAAAGUGAACAAGGUUGAAAGGAUGUUGAGACACUGUCUCGCUAUGAGCAUAAGGUAACUAUAGCUGUUUACCAAGCCGACAACCCAGACAGUUUAGAGAUAUCGUCGGAGACUGAUCCAAGAAGACCACAUCAAACUAAGGAUGCGAGAUGAGAGCCACACAAGUGACCCUAGGCGACGAUGGCACUUCUAAGCAUAACUGGUAGACAAGGUAAAAGAGGUGGAGAGACUAGCGGCUGUAGCAGCAGAGUCACUUGAUCCAGCAUCCUACGUGCCUCUGCGCUCUCCGUUACCCGCCAAUCCGACUUGGUGUGCUUCUCCUGUUUGCGGGUUGUGUGCCACACACUUGAUUAAGCACCCCACGUUCUCCUACAGUGCGCCCUUGACCCUGGCUUUAGGNNNNNNNNNNNNNNNNNNNNNNNNNNNNNNNNNNNNNNNNNNNNNNNNNNNNNNNNNNNNNNNNNNNNNNNNNNNNNNNNNNNNNNNNNNNNNNNNNNNNUUAUCCUGGUGCUCAUACUCAGAAAUGGCAUGGCUGAGGGCAAGCAUCAUCAACUAUUGAGACGACUCGUAGGUUCAAUGUCACUGCUCUCUCUUCCGUCACACGUUUGGAUGGUCACUACCUCACUUACGCCACACUUUUGGGUUGAAUGUGUCUCCACUUCCACCAUGGUCAUCUCCUUUCGAGAGUCUAUUUGAUCGUUUCCAUAUUAUUCAGCGCUUCAAUUGUUUGGUUGUGUUUGAUGUGCCCUUACUGCCUGUCAUGAAUGUACCAAACUUACUACUUAGUCUGUUGAGUGUUCAUAGGAUACAACGAUGAGCAUAAGAGAUAAUGUUGUUAGGAUCAUGUUGGUCAUCGGGUGACUAUUUAUCAUGGUAUGACUUUUACUGAGUCUUGUCCCUUCUACGUGUGACCAUCAUCUCCUAUGAUUUCCUUACUUCGCUUAUCACGGGAUUCUAAACUUUCACCACCGGUGACUUCCUUGUCUCCAUAACCUGAGUUUAUCUCGAUGAUUCUUGCUCGUAUUCUUCCACAUUUGCCUCACUCUUAUACGCGUCUUUCGUGUGUUGUGAAUGCAUCUACUGAUGUGCCAUCUUCUCCGUCUCGGCCUUCUUAUGGCUUGCGACCUCGUCCACUUUUGCCUAUUGACCGCCUUAGGCUAUGAAGCGUUGGCGCUACUUUCUUGAGCAAACUUCUUAUCUUGAUGUUAUUCAUACCAAACGGCGCCUUGCCAUGGUAGAGGAUAUUGCUACUGUUGAGCACAUAAGCACAUGGGAUAUUGUAUCUCUUCCUCCUCGUGUUCGUCCCAUUACUUGGUGCGUCUACAAGGCUAAGACUCGCUCGGUUGGUUCUCUUGAACGUUACAAAGCUCGUCUUGUGGCUCGUGGCUUUCAGUAAAAUCAUGGUCCUAAUUACGAUGAGAGUUUUUGCUCAUGCGGGCCAUACGACAAUUGUUCACUCCGUCUCGGCAUGAUGUUAAGAAUGUCUUUUUUUUAAUGGUGAAUUGCGUGAGGGGUUUUACGUGCAGCCACCACUUGCGUAUUCCACAUCUAGAUUCUCAUGUUCAUGUUUUUAGUGUCAAUGUAACUUCCCUGCCUGUCGAUAGACGAGGCACUCUUGGCAGUUUGUCUUUUCACAUUCCUUCUUUUGCUCGUCUUCCUUGACUUUACUACACUCGAUGUUCGCGUGUUGUGGAUUCUUCUAAUGAGUCAUCUGCCUCGACUACUAUGCCUUCUUCUGUGGGCAACACAUAGCUCCAGAUCAGCCUACUUAUGGCUUUCCAGCUCGCCCGCUUACGCCUAUUGACUGGUAUGGUUAGUUAUUGCACUGCUCUUCACAAGAAGACUUAUCUUGACGUUUUUUCAUCCACAAUGGCAACAUGUGAUGGCAUCAAAUGCUCUUCCCCUCAUCGCCUAGUGGAAUCUCAUUUCCCUUCCUCCUCUUGCUCGUCCCAUCACUUAUAACUCGGCCCACAAGGGUGAGACUAUGAUGUUUCUCUAGAGCUUUACAAACCUUUUCUAGUGGUGAGAACAUAUAGUCAUGAGUCAUGACAACGAUGAGACAUUUGCUUCUGUUGGCAACACAUAGCUCCAGAUCAACCUACUUAUGGCUCUCGAGCUCGCCCGCUUCUGCUUCUGCCUAUUGACUGCUAUGGUUAGUAAUUGUGGUGCUCUUCGCAAGAAGACUUCUUAUCAUGACAUUUUUUCAUCCACANNNNNNNNNNCGGCAUCAAAUGCUCUUCCCCUUGUCGGCUAGUGGAAUCUCAUUUCCCUUCCUCCUCUUGCUCGCCUCAUCACUCGUAACUAGGCCAACAAGGGUGAGACUAUGAUGUUUCUCUAGAGCUUUACAAAGCUCAUCUAGUGGUGAGAACAUAUAGUCAUGACUACGAUGAGACAUUUGCUUAUGUUGGCAACACAUAGCUCCAGAUCAGCCUACUUAUGGUUUUCGAGCUCGCCCGCUUCUGCCAAGGACACGACGCUACCUAAACCCAGGGUCAAGGGCGCCCUGUAGGAGAACGUGGGGUGGUUAAUCAAGUGCGUGGCACACAACCCGCAAACAGGAGAAGCACACCAAACCGGAUCGGUGAGUAACGGAGAGCGCACAGGCACGUAGGAUGCUGGAUCAAGUGACUCUGCUGCUACAGCCGCUAGUCUCUCCACCUAUGUUACCUUGUCUACCAGUUAUGCUUAGAAGUGCCAUCGUUGCCUCGGGUCACUUUUGUGGCUCUCAUCUCGCAUCCUUAGUUUGACGUGGUCUUCUUGGAUCGGUCUCCGACGAUGUCUUUAAACUAUCUGGGUUGUCGGCUUGGUAAACAGCUAUAGUUACCUCAUGCUCAUAGCGAGACAGUGUCUCAACAUUCUUUCAACCUUGCUCACUUUGAUGUCUGGGGUCCAUCUCCUUUCGCCUCGAAAGGAGGUCAUCGCUAGUACUAUAUUUAUAGAUGACUUCUCUCAACACACUUGGAUAUACCUUAUUUCCUUUCGUAGUGAGGUCUUAUCUGUGUAAGCGUUUUGCUUCCAUGGUUCACACCAAGUUCUCUACGCCUAUUCUUGUAUAUUGUGAGGACUCUGGUGGAGAAUAAAUAUCCAAGAUGUUGCGUUCAAUCCUUGUUGUGGAGGGCCGUCUUGCUCGGUUCUCUUAUCCUGGUGCUCAUACUCAGAAAUGGCAUGGUUGAGGGCAAGCAUCAUCAACUAUUGAGACGGCUCGUAGGUUCAAUGUCACUCCUCUCUCUUCCGCCACACGUUUGGAUGGUCACUACCUCUCUUACGCCACACUUUUGGGUUGAAUGUGUCUCCGCUUCCACCAUGGUCAUCUCCUUACGAGAGUCUAUUUGAUCGUUUCCAUAUUAUUCAACGCUUCAAUUGUUUGGUUAUGUUUGAUGUGCCCUUACUGCCUGUCGUGAAUGUACCAAUCUUACUACUUAGUUUGUUGAGUGUUCAUAGGAUACAACGAUGAGCAUAAGAGAUACUGUUGUUAGGAUCAUGUUGGUCAUCGGGUGACUAUUUCUCACGGUAUGACUUUUACCGAGUCUUGUCCCUUCUACGUGUGACCAUCUUCCCCGACCUUUACAGUGCAGGAUGUGUGUUGCCUCACUUUUCCCAACACUCCUAUCACUAUUUUUGAGCCCUAAUCCAUUCCCCGUACUGCUCCUGCUUCUCCAAUUAUUACAGAUUCAGCACCAUCAUCUCCUAUGAUUUCCUCACCUCUCUUAUCAUGGCUUUCCAGCUGCCCACUUCUGCCUAUUGACUACUAUGGUUAGUUAUUGCAGUGCUCUUCACAAGAACACCACUUAUCAUGACGUUUUUUCAUCCACAAUGGCAGCAUGUGAUGGCAUCAAAUGCUCUUCCCCUCAUCGGCUAGUGGAAUCUCAUUUCCCUUCCUCCUCUUCAUGUUUCUCUAGAGCUUUACAAACCUUUUCUAGUGGUGAGAACAUUAUAGUCAUGACUACGAUCAGAUAUUUGCUUCUGUUGGCAACACAUAGCUCUAGAUCAGCCAACUUAUAGCUUUCGAGCUCGCCCGCUUCUGCCUAUUGACUGCUAUGGUUAGUUACUGCGGUGCUCUUCGCAAGAAGACUUCUUAUCAUGACAUUUUUUUCAUCCACAGUGGCAGCAUGUGAUGGCAUCAAAUGCUCUUCCCCUCGUCGGCUAGUGGAUUCUCAUUUCCCUUCCUCCUCUUGCUCGUCUCAUCACUUGUAACUAGGCUCCUCACAGCGAGUUUCUUAUGUCUGACCUUGGCCCUCAUCGCUACUUCCCAGAGUCUACCUUUGAUGGCUUCUUUAUUUGCUAAGAGAAGUAUAUCCAGGAUCUUCUUGCUCCUGCUGCUCUUACUGACAAGCGUACUGUUGAGACUCCUAUGGAGUCAACAUCCACCUUUUUGGUCCACCUCCUCUCCCUGCUAGUUGGAUGGGCAUCCUUUGCCUUGCUAUGGGUUGCUAUGUGAACUGUCUCAAUCCCACAUCCCGUGUUCCCUUUAUGGGCGACACCAGAACCCACGCUCGAGCAACACCAAUGGUGAGCAGGAGCUCGGACAGUCGGCGCAUACCUGGAUUAUGCACGGCAAGCCGAGGACACGGCGCUACCUAAAGCCAGGGUCAAGGGCGCACUGUAGGAGAAUGUGAGGUGCUUAAUCAAGUGCGUGGCACACAACCCGCAAACAAGAGAAGCACACCAAGCCGGAUCGGUGAGUAACGGAGAGCGCACAGGCACGUAGGAUGCUGGAUCAAGUGACUCUGCUGCUAUAGCCGCUAGUCUCUCCACCUCUGUUACCUUGUCUACCAGUGAUGCUUAGAAGUGCCAUCGUCGCCUGGGGUGACUUGUGUGGCUCUCAUCUCGCAUCCUUAGUUUGACAUGAUCUUCUUGGAUCAGUCUCAGACGAUAUCUCUAACCUGUCUGGGUUGUCGGCUUGGUAAACAGCUAUAGUUACCUNNNNNNNNNNNNNNNNNNNNNNNNNNNNNNNNNNNNNNNNNNNNNNNNNNNNNNNNNNNNNNNNNNNNNNNNNNNNNNNNNNNNNNNNNNNNNNNNNNNNCUUCUCUUAGCAAAUAAAGAAGCCAUCAAAGGUAGACUCUGGGAAGUAGCGAUGAGGACCAAUGUCAGACAUAAGAAACUCACUGUGACGAGCCUUCACCAAGGCAAUGUAUUUAAGAGUCGUGCAGGAUCAUGAGCACUCGUUGAAAAACGAGCCGCAUUAACCACAGAGACAACACUCAAACCAGGCAUGAGGGGUUUGCUUGAGACCAUAUAGAAAACGUCGAACAGGACAAACCAUGCCAGCUGGAAAAGAAUACCCAAGUGGUGGCUACAUGUAGGCAUUGUUGACAUCAAGUUGAGAGAGAGAGAGAUACUAUGUUGGCAAACAAAAACCACAUCGGAAAGUGUGCCAAAAGUGGUCAUCUGGGCCAUAUUGGAGCAAAUGUCUGAUCGUAAUUCAAACUAUAUGUUCUCACUACUAGACGAGCUUUGUAAAGCUCUAGAGAAACAUCAUAGUCUCACCCUUGUGGGCCCAGUUACAAGUGAUGAGACGAGCAAGAGGAGGAAGGGAAAUGAGAUUCCACUAGCCGACGAGGGGAAGAUCAUUUGAUGCCAUCACAUGCUGCCAUUGUGGAUGAAAAAACGUCCUGAUAAGAAGUCGUCUUGCGAAGAGCACCGCAAUAACUAACCAUUGCAGUCAAUAGGCAGAAGCGGGCGAGCAUGAAAGCCAUAAGUAGGCUGAUCUGGAGCUAUGUGUUGCCAACAGAAGAAGACAUAGUAGUUGAGGGAGAUGACUCAUUAGAAGAAUCCACAGCACGCGAACAAUGAGUGUAGUAAAGUCAAGGUAGAUGAGCAAAAGAAGGAACAUGCAAAGACAAACUGCCAAGAGUGCCUCGACUAUCGACUGGCAGGGAAGUUACAUUGAGAGUAAAAACAUGAACAUGAGAAUCUAGAUGUGGAAUACGCAAGUGGUGGCNNNNNNNNNNAAAAUUCACCAUUAAAAAAGACAUUCUUAACAUCAAGCCGAAUCGGAGUGACGAAUAAAGGCCGCAACAAGAUGUGUGUGAACAAUUGUCGUAUGGCCUGCAUGAGCAGAAACUCUCAUCGUAAUUAGGACCACGAUUCUACUGAAAGCCACGAGCCACAAGACGAGUUUUGUAAUGUUCAAGAGAACCAUCAGAGCGAGUCUUAACCUUGUAGACGCACCAAGUAAUGGGACGAACACGAGGACGAAGGGACACAAUAUCCGAUGUGCUAAUGCGCUCAACAGUAGCAAUAUCCUCUACCAUGGCAAGGCGCCAUUUGGUAUGAAUAACAUCAAGAUAAGAAGUCUGCUCAAGAAAGUAGCGCCAACGUUUCAUAGCCUAAGGUGGUCAACAGACAAAAGUGGACGAGGUCGCAAGCCAUAAGAAGGCCGAGACGGAGAAGANNNNNNNNNNNNNNNNNNNNNNNNNNNNNNNNNNNNNNNNNNNNNNNNNNNNNNNNNNNNNNNNNNNNNNNNNNNNNNNNNNNNNNNNNNNNNNNNNNNNAGACAGUUCACAUAGCAACCCACAGCAAGGCAAAGGAUGCCCAUCCAAUUGGCAGGGAGCGGAGGUGGACCCAAAAACGUGGAUGUUGACUCCAUAUGAGUCUCAAUAGUACGCUUGUCAAUAAGAUCAGCAGGAGCAAAAACAUCCUGGAUAUACUUCUCUUAGCAAAUAAAGAAGCCAUCAAAUGUAGACUCUGGGAAGUAGCGAUGAGGACCAAGGUCAGACAUAAGAAACUCACUGUGACGAGCCUUCACAAAGACAAUGUACUUAAGAAUCAUGCAAGAUCAUGAGCACUAGUUGAAAAACGAGCCACAUUAACCACAGAGACAACGCUCAAACCAGGCAUGAGGGGUUUGCUUAAGACCAUAUAGAGAACGCCGAAGGCGACAAACCAUGCCAGGUGGAAAAGAAUACCCAAGUGUUGGCUACAUGUAGGCAUUGCUGACGUCGAGCUGAGACAGAGAGAGAGAGAGAGAGCCUAUGUUGGCAAACAGAAGGACAUCGAAAAGUGUGCAAAAAGUGUUCAUCUGGGCCAUAUAGGAGCAAAUGUCUCAUCGUAGUUAUGACUAUAUGUUCUCACCACUAGAUGAGCUUUGUAAAGCUCUAGAGAAACAUCAUAGUCUCACCCUUGUGGGCCUAGUUACAAGUGAUGAGACGUGCAAGAGGAGGAAGGGAAAUGAGAUUCCACUAGCCGACGAGGGGAAGAGCAUUUGAUGCCAUCANNNNNNNNNNNNNNNNNNNNNNNNNNNNNNNNNNNNNNNNNNNGUAAUAACCUACCAUAGUAGUCAAUAGGCAGAAGCGGGCGAGCUCGAAAGCCAUAAGUAGGCUGAUCUGGAGCUAUGUGUUGCCAACAGAAGCAAAUGUCUCAUCAGUCAUGACUAUAUGUUCUCACCACUAGAUGAGGUUUGUAAAGCUCUAGAGAAACAUCAUAGUCUCACCCUUGUUGGCCUAGUUACGAGUGAUGAGACGAGCAAGAGGAGGAAGGGAAAUGAGAUUCCACUAGCCGAUGAGGGGAAGAUAAUUUGAUGCCAUCACAUGCUGCCAUUGUGGAUGAAAAAAUGUCAUGAUAAGAAGUCUUCUUGGGAAGAGCACCGCAAUAACUAACCAUAGCAGUCAAUAGGCAGAAGCGGGCGAGCUCGAAAGCCAUAAGUAGGCUGAUCUGGAGCUAUGUGUUGCCAACAGAAGCAAAUGUCUCAUCGUUGUCAUGACUNNNNNNNNNNNNNNNNNNNNNNNNNNNNNNNNNNNNNNNNNNNNNNNNNNNNNNNNNNNNNNNNNNNNNNNNNNNNNNNNNNNNNNNNNNNNNNNNNNNNUUGGAUAUUUAUUGUCCACCAGAGUCAUCACAGUAUACAAGAAUAGGCAUAGAGAACUUGGUGUGAACCAUGGAAGCAAAACGCUUACACGGAUAAGACCUCCCUACGAAAGGAAAUAAAGUAUAUCCAGGUGUGUUGAGAGAAGUCAUCUAUACAUAUAGUACUGGCGAUGACCUCCUUUCGAGGCGAAAGGAGAUGGACCCCAGACAUCAAAGUGAACAAGGUUGAAAGGAUGUUGAGACACUGUCUCGCUAUGAGCAUAAGGUAACUAUAGCUGUUUACCAAGCCGACAACCCAGACAGUUUAGAGAUAUCGUCGGAGACUGAUCCAAGAAGACCACAUCAAACUAAGGAUGCGAGAUGAGAGCCACACAAGUGACCCAGGCGACGAUGGCACUUCUAAGCAUAGCUGGUAGACAAGGUAACAGAGGUGGAGAGACUAGCGGCUGUAGCAGCAGAGUCACUUGAUCCAGCAUCCUACGUGCCUCUGCGCUCUCCGUUACCCGCCAAUCCGACUUGGUGUGCUUCUCCUGUUUGCGGGUUGUGUGCCACACACUUGAUUAAGCACCCCACGUUCUCCUACAGUGNNNNNNNNNNNNNNNNNNNNNNNNNNNNNNNNNNNNNNNNNNNNNNNNNNNNNNNNNNNNNNNNNNNNNNNNNNNNNNNNNNNNNNNNNNNNNNNNNNNNAGGGUUUGAGGCUGCCUCCUCCCCUCCCUCCCUCCUAUGUAUACUAGAGGUAUUGAGGGUUUUUGAGACACAACUUUGCCACGUGCUGCUCGACCCUAUACCACGCAGUUUUUCCUCUAGAUCGUAUUUCUAUGGAGCUUAGGCGAAGCCCUGCCGGAGUAGAUCAUCACCACCACCGGUGCGCCGUCACGCUGCCGGAGAACUCUUCUACCUCUCCGCCCCUCUUGCUGGAUCAAGAAGGUGGGGAUCGUCAUCGAGCUGUACGUGUGCUGAACGCGGAGAUGCCGUCCGUUCGGCACUAGAUCGGAACGGAUCAUGAGACGGAUCGCAAGACGGUUCGUGCGACGGAUCGCGAGACGGUUCAUGGGACGGAUCGUGAGACGGUUCGUGGGACGGUUCGCGGACGGUUCAUGGGACGGUUCGUGGGGCUGAUCGAGGGACGUGAAGACGUUCCACUACAUCAACCGCGUUUCUUAAACGCUCCCUGUUGUGCGAUCUACAAGGGUACGUAGAUCCAAUUCUCCUCUCGUAGAUGGACAUCACCAUGAUAGGUCUUCGUGUGCGUAGGAAAUUUUUUGUUUCCCAUGCAACGUUCCCCAACACACGGGUCGGCGGAGAGAAAAGGGGAUUGAGGGAGGGGAAGGCUCAUGCACGUGGUUGCAGGUGGCGAACUCGAGGGCGAGCUGGUCGGUGGUGUCGGCGGAGAAGAGGCCGCCGAAGUCGUGGCUGUCGGCCGCGGCAGCGCCGAAGUGGUUCUCUAAGACGGAGAGGUUGGGAAUUCGAGCAUGAGCAGGUCUGUGGUGUUGGUGGAGAAGAGGCCGUCAAAUUUGUCGCUGCACGCGGCCGGCCGCGGCGGUGCCGAAGUGGUUCUGGAGGGAAGAGAACGGAGAUGUUGGGAAUCAUCGCGCCGAUGGCAUGGAUGUGUAGCGGAGUAGGCGAAAAAUUGAGAUUUUUCUCUCUUUCUCUUUCUUGUGGGUCUUGUCUCGCACGUGAAGCCCUCUGCUUAUAGAAGGAUUGGANNNNNNNNNNNNNNNNNNNNNNNNNNNNNNNNNNNNNNNNNNNNNNNNNNNNNNNNNNNNNNNNNNNNNNNNNNNNNNNNNNNNNNNNNNNNNNNNNNNNAUCACCAACUUUGGUUGGAAGUGCCACUUGGCUACAUGAGCUAGUAGUGUAUCCCAACAUGAUGAAGGUGAUCUUGACAUAAAUGAAAAAGGGGGUUUGAAGAGAGCAAAAUAAUAAGUUUUUCAUGGGUUUGAGUCAUCAAACAAGCAAGCAUACACUCAAACAAUGGCAGACAUAGCACUCACAACAUUAUUUGAAAAAGUUUUAACAAGCUCUGAUUUUUGCAACACAGAAAACUUGGGGUGAAAAACAGGGUGUGACAUAACGACCUGGCUAAGAUUGGUUUAGCCAAUGGUCAGCCUGGCUCUCAUACCAAGGUUGUAGCGACGUGUUUUUCGAAAAAUAAUUUCCAGAAAGCAUGUCUCUGUGUUUACCAGCCAUAGGAUUGUUGUUAGCUGGUGGACACUUACUUGAUACAGACUAUCCAAGCAAAAUUACAAAAUCUGGGUUACAAGACCAUGAAGGUCUACUAGGUGGAACAAAAGUGUGAGGUUGACGGCGGAAGCGACUCGAGGAAUCUCCAGUGCCCAUGGGACUCCAUUCCCACAGGAACAGCUGACCUGGAUAAAUUCCUAUCUCACAAGGUUGCUAUCCUUGAAUCCUAGGUUCCGGGGCUGACAGCAUCGUGCUCCUCUCUGAACGCAAUCUGGCCAAGACAAUAGCCAGGGACAAGCCAGUGAGUACUUUGAAUGUACUCGCAAACAUCAAGAAAACAAAAACGUUAAGCAGGUGAGAUGCAUGCAAAUUCCAUAAACAAUUAUAUCAUGUCAUUAGAGUUUAACUCAUGAAUGUAUUAAUGAAGAUAUGCAAUGUUUUCACCAAUGCUUUAUAAACAAGCAAAAGACAAUAAUAAUGAGUAAUAUGCUUGCAAAAGUCGGGCGUCAGAGCGACACCACAGAAAGGGCUUAAGAUAUGACAAUAAGCAUGUCUUGGUCGGGCGUCUGAGCGACACGAUAGAAAGGGCUUAUAAGAAAUGAUAAUAAGCAUGCCACAGUCGGGCGUCUCAGCGACACCACAUAAGGGGCUUAUAUGAAACAAUAAACAUGCCACAGUCAGGCGUCUUAGCGACACCAUAGGAAGGGCUUAUAAGAAACAAUAAUAAAUAUCGAAUAUCCAUGAGGUAGAACCGUCCCACGGAUAUCCAACAACAUAAUCGUAGGGUUAGUCCAGAGUAAUAAUGAUAAUAUGAUCAUGUCCCACAUCAUCAUAUGAUUUGCCACAUCCAUUAUUAUUAUCACCGUUUAUACUCCAAAGACCGACACUAGGACCGACACUUGACUCGUCAAACAACGUCCUUGACCGGGGACACGGCUACUCGAAUAGUUUUGACUCUGGAUAGGGUGUACUCUUUACCCACAGCUCACGGUUUUCGAUAGUCCACAAGACUAAUCCUGCGUACGGCAUUUUAGAAGCGGAACUCAGAAUCAGCACACACCGAUUUUUCCUCCGCGAAGCCCGGCUUCAGCCGGACUACGCUGCCAAGACAAAACCAUAAGACGGGGAGGCUCCGACCUCGACUAGCAUGGGAUCAAAAAUUUAUACCACGCGCUCACUUGGAAGGGCCAUUGCCUCCCGGUCCCAGACCGGGAACACCCAUGCCCCAUGACCGGAUCACUGGAUUUAUUCCAGGGCCAUGGAUACCUUCAUACCGGCCCCUCUACUUGGUGUGUGACUGAUAAUAGGUCUACAACUGACUUUACCGAAUCCAUUAUCCAGGAAACUGUGGUAGCACGUUAUAGAAGUAUGACACAGACAAGACUCGAUCUAGGCCGAUAUUGGAGUUAACCAAGUUUUACCGGCAUCAUCGUGCACAUGUCAUGACCAGGUCAUAACCUAUCACGUUCCGCGUGACUAGGCUAUUCCACGACCUUUCAUAACUAGCACAUGACAUCAUGAUGUUUCACCAUUGUUAUAAUAUGAGUAGCAUGUAUGAAGAAUGCAAGGUAUUAUUUCAUGUGAUAUUAUUAUCAACAUAACCUCAAAUCACGCAAUAUAUGCACCACCGCAAUCAUUACACAACUUAUGCACAUAUGGAUUCAAGAUGCUUGCCUUAGGGUUUGAGGAGGGUGAUGUGUACCCCAUAUCUUGGAGUAGGUACUCCUCUCUUCAAAUCCUAUUUUAAAAAAUACUUGAAUUAACACACAUAUUCAAAACAGCACACAAAAGUUGUUUGAAUAAUUUUGAAAUAAAUCUUAAAAUAAACUAGAUGAAAUUCUAAACAGGUAGGAAAAAGAAUCAAUUGAUUUGGAGUUUCCUAUAAAAAUUAUAGCGAGUCAAACUUUCUGGUCAAAUCUGUUUUUAAAAUCAAAACUAAAAGAAAACGUUUCGGGCAAACUACACUUUCCCGCAGAGAAGACCUAUUCACCCUAACGGCUACGCACGAAUGCGCUUUACUUAAAAGAAAACGCAACAGGGGGGUUUGCGCCACUCGGGGCAUGGCUCGCCUAUCGACAGGCGGGGCCCGCUUGUCGGGUCCUUCUCCCACCUCCCGCGCGAGCGUGGCACAGGGCACCUCCCGUCAUGCUCCGACUAUGUACACGCUCGUGGGAGUGAGCCGCAUCCAUUUUUUGCGGUUAGAGGCGCGACAGAGCUCGGGGCUGAGCGGGGCUUCAACAAUGGCGGAAGGAGCUUCGGCCAUCCUGCAUCCUUGACCUCAGGUGGUUCCCGUCCAUGCACGACGAUGGGAAUGUGUUUCCUAGAGUCGGGUAGGGGGCUAGGAGUGGUCUUGGGAGGAGGAGAGGGGCUUGGGGCUGCCGGAAUCGAGCAGGAGGUCGACGGCGGCGCUACUGUCACACACGAGCAGAGAAACGGCUCCGGCUAAAUCAAGGUGAAGGGGAGGAAGCUCUGGUCCUAUGGGGGGUUGCCUAAUCCUCAAGGGGGCUCGGGGCUGUGUUAUAUAGCCGAGGCUGAGUCCGUUCAUCAGGGCUUCGGAUAAGACCGACGACGGCAAGCUAUGGCAAUGACUCGGGCGCAACAGGAGCGGCGGUAGGGCGAAGCAGGGGUAGCAAGGCAGCGAGCAGCAGCAGGGGGAAGCAAGGCAGGGGAGGGACCGCGACCAGCUGGCGAUCGGAGGAGGCUUGGGCGGCACCGUCCGUGGCAGCAGCAAAGAAGGAGCCACGGCUUUCGCGCUGUCGUUGCAUUGUUCGUGCACAAGGUGACGAUCGACGGUUGGGGAGGGUUGGACUCGGCUCUACAAUAGACCAAAAGGGCGAGGGCGUGGGGACGCGGUGGCUCGGCACGCGCGCGUGCAAAACGUGCGCUUUGGUGCACCCAGAUCGUGCACGCAAGGUGCUCGACGCAUUGCCAAUCACUCACAACGACCUCCACAACAGCGCAAACAAAACAGGGUCAUGUUAUGGAUCAAAACCAACCUCCUACACAUCUUGGUUGGGCUGGAUCAUCAACUCCACAAUGCAGGUUCAAAGUCAUGCCAAUUUUGGUCAUGCUCCAAAAGUGCUUGAUGAAAUGCCACGGGCUCCAAAUGAUCUUUGAUGCCUACCAAAAUCUCCAGAUCAGGGUCUCUCGGUGCUACAAAUGGUGGUAGGGUUAGUUUGGCAAAAAGAAAAACCAGCUAAUGCAAUAUUUAAAAAAAACAUUUCUGGACAGAAACUUGAAGCUAUUAUCACAUGCACUUACUUUCAUCCAAUGGGGCCCAACUCUUGGGGUUAAGGUUUUUGGUAGGGUUCCAUACAAGCAUGCAAAAUAUCAAGGUAAUUAGAGCAAGGAAAAAUAGGAUUGUAGUGAAAAUCAUCAAUCUGGACCAGAACAGAAAAAUGAAUAUUCUGCUAAACUUUUAUAAAGCACAUAGUGGGGGUUUUGCAUAAACAUGAAUCUCAUGUUAUACUUGACAUCCCCAAUUAUUUAUGGAAUUUUUGAUAGAUUAAUUCUAGGGGUUGUAGUACAAACUCAAAUCUGGACCAGAUUAGAAAGCAGUGAAUGUGCUCAAAAUAUUCAAAACACUUGGGUAGGUUUUUGCAUAAAUGUGAUCGAGGGACAUCACGGAUCAUCUCCAAAAUUUUAUAAUUUUUUUAGAAGUGAUCACAAGGUUGUAGUGCAAAACANNNNNNNNNNNNNNNNNNNNNNNNNNNNNNNNNNNNNNNNNNNNNNNNNNNNNNNNNNNNNNNNNNNNNNNNNNNNNNNNNNNNNNNNNNNNNNNNNNNNCUUCAUCUUCUGAGCGUGGGAUCUCCACUGAGUCAACUUCAUGUUGAAGAUGUUUGACUAUAGUUUUCAAGUGAGUAACCUUCACAUCCAUGUCAUGAAACUUUGUUUCCACGACUCUCUCAAGGCUUUUCUGACUUUGCAGUAUCUCGUGAAUGUUCUUCUCCAUACCUUGGACAGUGCUAACUAGAAAUGCCAUUUGCUCAGCUUGAGUUAUGAGUUCUGGAACUGGAGGUGGCCUAUUUCUAGCAGCCUCAACUUCUAGUGCCUCUGUUGCCAUUCUUGUUGCAGCUGAGUUAGGAUCAUUUCAUCCAUUACCACUUCAUUGUCUUCAAACUCUGGCUAAAGAGGUAGAUCGGGACGAUCAAGUCGAUAUGCAUGCUUGGCUAGCUUGCAUUGAUAAGCAUUUGAAUGUAAGGAGCAUAUCCACAUGAUCUCUUCUGAUCCGCAGCAGUUCUCCGGAUAGUCUCUACUAUCAAAUCCAUCACUUGAAUUUGGUAUGGGUGUCUAGCAGGUGCAGCAGGUUGAUGGAAUGUCCUCUAAUCAUCUUCUCAUCUCCUGAUUUAGGCAUCAGGGUGUAUCUCAGAAUAGUGUUUGUUGUAGGAAUGCCUGCUUGCAGAAAGUACACUGAACCCAUCUUGUGACUAGCCAAGUACUUGUGUGGAGUUGUCUUGUACAUAUUGGCCAUUGAGUUGUGACUCCGCUCUGCUUCAACAUAAACAUCUACAUCUCGAUCUUCCUGCUUGAGGGCACCAAUGAUAGCAGCCCAUUCAGUAAAUGUGGCUUCAUACUUGUGACCAUCAGUCGUCCAGACUAAAGAAUCAUCAUAGAAAUGAACGGUUGCAUAGAAUUGCAUGAUCAGCUCGUCAUUCCAUGGGGUCAUAUAUUUGCCAACAAACUUUUCAAUGUCCACUAGUCUAAAGUUCUCUUGGACAUGGGGAAAGAAAUUCUCAUUUUCUUUGAUAUAUGCCCAGUCGACAUACCUCAUAUCACUGACAGCAAGACUCUUGUCAAACAAGACACUCUCAUAAAAAUCUUGUUGUUCCUUGGUGUGAAACCUUGGAUCAACAACAGUUCUUUUUCUGACGGCAUAUGGAUCAUUAGCUCUCCACUUCCUUAGUAUGACAUCCUUCCUCUUCUUCAUAUAUUCUUCUACUGGAUGAGCAGCAUUGUGAAUAGGAAGAGUUGGUCUGAGCUUCCGUAGAAUUGGCGCAUUCUCAUCUUCUUGCUCCUAUGCAGCAUGGGUGCUGGAUGCAGGGCCUUUUCUCUUUGCAGCUGCAGGUAUGUCCUUGGUAGUCCUUUUGGGAGCUACAACCUUCUUUGCUUUGGCAGGAGGCUUAGGAGAAGAUUUCAUAGCAUUAGCCAUCAGCUUCUUCUUCUUGGGAGGAACUAGGAUCUCCUCAGGAGUUUCUUCCUCGACAUCUUCUGGGUCUUCAUACAUUGAAGUCUUUCUCUCAACAAGAUGAACAAUUCUCUUCCUGGUCCUCUUCACACCAGCCUUCCUCGCACGUACAUCCUUGGAAAGUGUUGUGCUCUUCCUGGCAUAUUCAGGUGCUCUCAGAUCAGCAGGGGUAGCAGUUACUUUCCUGACAGUUUUCCUUGGAGCCUUUGAAGGAGCUGAAGUUUCCUCUCGCAUAAAAUCUGAGUCCUCUUGAUCACAAACUAGCUUCUUCCUUUGCCUGGUGGUUGCCUUGGGAUAACCAUGAGAGCUGGGAGAACUUGGGUCUGAAGCACAAUUCUCUGGACUAGUGUCUGAGUCCACCUCAAUACUCCACUCUCUGAAGUCAUUUUGUCUAUCUUCUGAACCAGACAUUUCUGACAUGCAAACACAAUCUCGGCAGCAAACAAUAAAUCCUGUGAAGUGGAUAUAGGAAGGACAGAAAGGAUGAGCAUCACAAAAUUCAGAUUUUUUUUAAAUUUGAAAAGAGAAAUCCUUAGUUUUAACUUUUUUAAUAACACAUAUCGGUGGAACCGAGUUAGAACUUCCGGAGUCUCCGAGAGACAUGAACUCCUUAACAAAAACUUGGUCAUGAUUUUGGUGGAACCGAAAAUGACAACUCGGUCUCACGGAGUCCAUUCUCAGGAACGCUAGGUUCAAAAUCGGUAGCACCGAGUUUUGCAACUUGGAGUCACCGAGAUGGGGUAUGCGGACAGUUAACCCUAAAAACUUCCUAGUUCUCUAAACUACGGGAUUCAUCUGGUGGAUAGAGAGGUUUCACACACCGGCUUGUGGAUAAAAAUUUCCCAUUGCGUAUGAAUCAGAUGGAGGGACGCACACGGGGUCCGAACUAUACCCUAGCUUGGCGGUGGUCCGGCUACGAUGGUGACGGUGGUGAAGAUUCUGUCGACGGCGGCGAUUCCCAUCGACGGAGAAGCACGGGAACUCAAGGGAGACAACCAGGGGUCCAGGAGGCAGCUUAGGGUUUGAGGUGAAAUGGCUUUGACGAUUGGAAAUUGAAGAACCUGUCCGCUCGAAUAUAUACCCAUUCUCUAUCGGUUUCAUCAAGAUUACGAAGUCGGUGUCACCGAGUUCCUCUGCUGUCAGCUGACAAGGAAACUCGGUGGAACCAAGUUGGUGAUUCCGGUGGUACCGACAUGGAAAACCUAGAUCAACUCUAGAAUUCGGUGGAGCCGAGUUUGUAAAGUUGGUUUCACCGAGUUCAUUCACAGAGAGGUUUUGUAGGUCAGCCAUUGAUGAUAUGGAACUCCGAGUGCUCCUUCACACACAGGGAUCAACAAGUGCUUUUUCAAGUUUUGUGAUGAAGCAUGAAUAGAACUUGAGAUGAGAUAGCUAGAGAAGAGUCCUAGGCAUUCUUGACCAUCCAAUUGGCAAAAGAUAAAUCAAGAGCCAAAUAACAAUAAUCGGAUGUCCUCGAAUGAUCAAACACAUGCAGACCAACAUGCUCACACAAUAAGAAUGACAGAGAAAAACAGGGUGAACAUGCACAAACAUACUAGUAGCUAUCAAGCACUUGGGUGAUGACAAAGUCAUCUAUAUAUGAGUAUAUUGACAUAGGAGCCAAGUAAGAAUACUUGAUCAUAGGUCAUACUCAUCAUUAAGCACAAGUGGGGUACCACUUUUACAUAAGCAUUGAUGUGUUCAUAUCCUUAGGAGAUGCUUAUACCCAAGUCUUAGAGUAAAGCUCCCCCUUUAUAUGGCAUCCCCACUAGGAGGGAUCAACUAACCUUGGGUUUUGUCGUUGAAGACUUCAAGUAGUUGAAGUAGUGGUGGAUGCUCAAAGUCGAUGAAGAUCAUCUUGAGUUGGGAGCAGUUCUUGUUGUUUUCAUACUCUUCUCACCUACAUGGGUUAGUUCCAAAGCACGAGGAACACAUGCAAGAAUGUCUAUGGACAUGGAGUGAAACAUAAAUGGGAUGAUGUCCAAAGAUGCAUUAAUUACCUUGUUCCUUGCUUACCUUUGAGGGAAUGUGUGACUCCUUGAACUAAUGCAUAUGAUUGAGGUUGAUUGCAAAUAGUUCUUGCCAAAAUGAAUAGGAGUGAAUUUCAUUGGAGGAGCCACCCCUAUUGGGGAUCCACAUCAAAUUGAUGGGAAUCCUUGGAGUUGUGGUAGCACUUGUUGAGGUAGAGCUAGUAGUUUCCUUGGGAACCCACUUGACCUUGGCUUGGGGUUCUUCUUCAAAUAGGUCAAUGUCAUCUUGAAGCUUUCCCUUGCCUUUGUGGUCUUGUGGUAGAAGGACAUCUUGUGAGCUUGUUCCUUCGGGAGGAGUGGAAUCACGCUUCUCCUCUUGGGGAACAAACUUAGGAGUGGGAUAUGGACCUUCUUCCCAAACAUCUCCGUUGAUGUUGAAGUAGCCAACACCUUGUUUCUUCCGAUGUCCUCCUUGCUUGCGCACAAUUUCCUCGAAUUUUUUUACUUCCGGCAAGGCUCUUGAAGAAAUCUUUCUCUAUAAUCCCUUUCAAUAGAUCAUUUUGUUGCUCAAGUGUAACUUGGCUAAGAGAAUCGUUAGUGGAAUCAAUAGAGAUACUAGCAACAACAUUAUUGGUUUUACCCUUAGCAUGGUUGUUACUAGAUGAAGAAACAUUCUUCCCUUUGUUACUAGUGUUCCUAUGUUUAACUUGUGGAACAAAGUUGCACAAGAGUAAUCGUUUGGCAAGAUAAGAAGAACUCUUCUUUCGAAGAUCAUGAUUGAUCGCUUUUAACAACUCAUGCUCUUUAUCCAAGUUGAGCUUCUCGAAGCGUAGCUUCUCAUGGAUUCUUGCAAGCUCUCUAUGAUAUUCUAGAGUAGUCUCAUGAGCUAACUUAAGAGUUUUUAAUUCUUGAGUUAGUCGUUCAAUUUCUUUAUUAUCAUCAUCAUUCGAUUUCUCUUGACUAGCAUGAUAAAUAUCAAGUUCAUUUUUAGUGUAAUCCCUAGUUUUAUCAAGGAGCAAGUCAUCUUCUCCUAAUUAGUCAUCCUCAUCACUAUUAAAAUCAAGAUACUCGGGAUGUGAUACCUUGGGGCCUUUAGCUAUGAAGCAGUUUUCGACUCCCUCAUUUGGUGAAUCAAAUAAGUCGUAGGAGUUGGUGGAAACAAGUGCAAUCCCGGCAACACCUUCAUCUUGACUAUAGUCGGAGUGGGAGUGAUAGCUUCUCUCGGAGUGGUGAUCAGACUUGGAGCCAGACACCCAUUCACCAACUUGAGCUUAAUGUCUUCUUCUUGAACUGCUCUUGGUGUAUUUGUCCUUCUUCUCCGAUUCCUUGCCUCUCCGUGAGUGUCUUUGUUCAUAGUGAUCUUUUGUACUCCUUCUCUCUCUCCGAGGUGACUCAUCUCUUGAGAUUCGUCUUCGAGGUGACUCUUCCCUUCUUUUGUAGGGAGCCGAACACUCAUUUGAGUAGUGUCCGGGCUUCCCACAAUUGUAGCAGUUUCGGUCACGACUGGAUGAACACUUCUCUUCAUGUCUCGAUCUUGAGCUUCUCUCUUUGCCUCUACUCUUAUAGAACUUGUUGAAUUUUCUGACCAUGAGGCUUAUCUCUUCAUUGGUGACAAGAUUGUCCUUUGAGGUAGCGGGAGCAUCACAUGAAGCUUUAUAAGCACCGCUUGACUUGUUGUGCAGUUCAUCUUUGUCCUUGAGUGACAUCUCAUGAGCAACAAUCCUACCAAUGACCUCAAUUGGCUUGAGAUCUUUGUAAUUUAGCAUCAUUUGGAUCAAUGUGCACACUGUGUCACACUUUCCAUCGAGAGCUCUAAGUAUCUUAUUGAUGAUGAAUUUGUCGGUCAUACCUUCGCUUCCUAAGCUGGCAAUCUCAUUGGUGAUGAGAACUAGCCUAGAGUACAUUUCAGCGACUCCUUCACCAUCCUUCGUCUUGAACUUUUCAAGUUGACUUUUUAGCACAUCCAACUUAGAUUCCCUGAAAGAUUCGAUACCUUCGUGCAUAUCAACCAAAGUAUACCAAAUUCCUUUGCAUUUUCAAGAUGACUUAUCUUGUUGAACUCUUUGAGGCAUAGGCAGUUGAAUAGAAUGUUCCAUGCUUGAGCGUUGUAUUGCAACAUCUUAAAUUCUUCUGCAGUCGCUUCAUGAUCCGGUUCCUUUCCAUCACCAAAGAAUUCACCUUGCAAGUCAACACUAACCACAACCCAAAGGAUGGUGUUAUGACCAAGAAUAUGAAUUUUCAUUUUAUGCUUCCAACUAGCAAAGUUUUUACCAUCAUAAUAUGGACCUCUACGAUGACAAUUUCCCUCAUUAGACACCAUUCUCUCAUUGGUUGUGAAACUAAAGCAAUGGAGGCCAAAGCUCUAAUACCACUUUUAGGAUCCAANNNNNNNNNNNNNNNNNNNNNNNNNNNNNNNNNNNNNNNNNNNNNNNNNNNNNNNNNNNNNNNNNNNNNNNNNNNNNNNNNNNNNNNNNNNNNNNNNNNNCAGAAACUGCACUAUAAUUCUUGAGAUGGGUUGAAAGAAGAAGGCAAGUAACCUGCAACCAAAUAAGAGGAUGGCAUAAUUGCUAGUGAGGCCUGACCCGAAAACUAAGUUGCACUCUUACCUGCCCCUAUUCUGUACAUACUGGAAAAAGUGUCCAACCAGGAGCAUAUUCAAAAAAUCUAUAACUCCUUGAAAGAAGGCACUUCUCCAUAGUAACCAAGCAAGUAUGUCACAUAGAGAAGGAUUACUACUAAUCUAAAAUAGAGUAACUAUAUUUGAGAAAACAAUUGCCUCAUGCUCAAAACACAUUAAUAGGUCAUCGAAUUAAGAAAAAAGCGGCAUGGUCGAACAUAUCAGGAACUUUUUCCACAAAAGGGCCUCGGUCUACCAAGCCAUACUAUAAAAGCAGAAACAAGCAAACACUUGAGAAGGUGCACAUAAAUUUAACUACAUGGCAUAAAAUAACAUAAGCUCACCAUCUAACAACAGGGGCCUACACCGGUAAAUAAUUAUACAGAAAAUAUUAUGUAUACAGAUAUGAUGAUAUAUAACCCUAUUUGAUUAUUCCAUUUGAGGUAAUGCUAAGAAGCGCACAUGGAGCCGUCUCUUUCUUUUCUGAAAACAAAUAACAGGAUCAUCUUCGGUCAGAAGUGCACACAGCAAUCAUGCAUCAGUUGAUAAAUAAUAAAGGAGUACUCGGGGAUAUUAAAAAAAAACAUGGGCUCUUUAACCUGCCCCACAGAAACUGCACUAUAAUUCUUGAGAUGGGUUGAAAGAAGAAGGCAAGUAACCUGCAACCAAAUAAGAGGAUGGCAUAAUUGCUAGUGAGGCCUGACCCGAAAACUAAGUUGCACUCUUACCUGCCCCUAUUCUGUACAUACUGGAAAAAGUGUCCAACCAGGAGCAUAUUCAAAAAAUCUAUAACUCCUUGAAAGAAGGCACUUCUCCAUAGUAACCAAGCAAGUAUGUCACAUAGAGAAGGAUUACUACUAAUCUAAAAUAGAGUAACUAUAUUUGAGAAAACAAUUGCCUCAUGCUCAAAACACANNNNNNNNNNNNNNNNNNNNNNNNNNNNNNNNNNNNNNNNNNNNNNNNNNNNNNNNNNNNNNNNNNNNNNNNNNNNNNNNNNNNNNNNNNNNNNNNNNNNACUACGAUGAGACAUUUGCUCCUAUAUGGCCCAGAUGAACACUUUUUGCACACUUUUCGAUGUCCUUCUGUUUGCCAACAUAGGCUCUCUCUCUGUCUCAGCUCGACGUCAGCAAUGCCUACAUGUAGCCAACACUUGGGUAUUCUUUUCCACCUGGCAUGGUUUGUCGCCUUCGGCGUUCUCUAUAUGGUCUUAAGCAAACCCCUCAUGCCUGGUUUGAGCGUUGUCUCUGUGGUUAAUGUGGCUCGUUUUUCAACUAGUGCUCAUGAUCUUGCAUGAUUCUUAAGUACAUUGUCUUUGUGAAGGCUCGUCACAGUGAGUUUCUUAUGUCUGACCUUGGUCCUCAUCGCUACUUCCCAGAGUCUACAUUUGAUGGCUUCUUUAUUUGCUAAGAGAAGUAUAUCCAGGAUGUUUUUGCUCCUGCUGAUCUUAUUGACAAGCGUACUAUUGAGACUCAUAUGGAGUCAACAUCCACGUUUUUGGGUCCACCUCCGCUCCCUGCCAAUUGGAUGGGCAUCCUUUGCCUUGCUGUGGGUUGCUAUGUGAACUGUCUCAAUCCCACAUCCCGUGUUCCCUUUAAGGGCGACACCAGAGCUCGGACAGUCGAUGCAUACCUGGAUUAUGCACGGCAAGCCGAGGACACGGCGCUACCUAAAGCCAGGGUCAAGGGCGCACUGUAGGAGAACGUGGGGUGCUUAAUCAAGUGUGUGGCACACAACCUGCAAACAGGAGAAGCACACCAAACCGGAUCGGCGGGUAACGGAGAGCGCACAGGCACUUAGGAUGCUGGAUCAAGUGACUCCGCUGCUACAGCCGCUAGUCUCUCCACCUCUUUUACCUUGUCUACCAGUUAUGCUUAGAAGUGACAUCGUCGCCUAGGGUCACUUGUGUGGCUCUCAUCUCGCAUCCUUAGUUUGACGUGGUCUUCUUGGAUCAGUCUCCGACGAUGUCUCUAAACUGUCUGGGUUGUCGGCUUAGUAAACAGCUAUAGUUACCUUAUGCUCAUAGUGAGACAGUGUCUCAACAUCCUUUCAACCUUGUUCACUUUGAUGUCUGGGGUCCAUCUCCUUUCGCCUCGAAAGGAGGUCAUCGCCAGUACUAUAUGUAUAGAUGACUUCUCUCAACACACCUGGAUAUACUUUAUUUCCUUCCGUAGGGAGGUCUUAUCUGUGAAAGUGUUUUGCUUCCAUGGUUCACACCAAGUUCUCUACGCCUAUUCUUGUAUACUGUGAUGACUCUGGUGGACAAUAAAUAUCCAAGAUGUCGCGUUCAAUCCUUGUUGAGCAGGGUGCUCUUGCUCAGUUCUCUUAUCCUGGUGCUCAUGCUCAGAAAUGGCAUGGCUAAGGGCAAGCAUCGUCAACUAUUGAGACGGGUCGUAGGUUCAAUGUCAAUUCUCUCUCUUCCGCCACACUGUUGGAUGGUCACUGCCUCUCUUACGCCACACUUUUGGGUUGAAUGCGUCUCCACUUCCACCAUGGUCAUCUCCUUCCGAGAGUCUAUUUGAUCGUUUCCAUAUUAUUCAGCGCUUCAAUUGUUUAGUUGUGUUUGAUGUGCCCUUACUACCUCUCGUGAAUUUACCAAACUUACUACUUAGUUUGUUGAGUGUUCAUAGGAUACAACAAUGAGCAUAAGAGAUCCUGUUGUUAGGAUCAUGUUGGUCAUUGGGUGACUAUUUCUCACGGUAUGACUUUUAGUGAGUCCAGUCCCUUCUACGUGUGACCAUCAUCCCCGACCUUUUCAGUGGAGGGUGUGUUACCUCACUUUUCCUGACACUCCUAUCACAAUUGUUGAGCCCCAAUCCAUUCCUCGUACCGCUCCUGCUUCUCCAAUUAUUAAAGAUUCAGCACCAUCAUCUCCUAUGAUUUCCUCACUUCGCUUAUGAUGGGAUUCUAAACUUUCAUCACCGGUGACUUCCUUGUCUCCAUAACCUAAGUUUAUCUCGAGGAUUCUUGCUCGUAUUCUUCCACAUUUGACUCACUUUUAUACGCGUCGUUCGUGUGUUGUGGAUGCAUCUACUGAUGUGCCAUCUUCUCCAUCUCGACCUUCUUAUGGCUUGCGACCUCAUCCACUUUUGCCUGUUGACCGCCUUAGGCUAUGAAACGUUGGCGCUACUUUCUUGAGCAGACUUCUUAUCUUGAUGUUAUUCAUACCAAAUGGCGCCUUGCCAUGGUAGAGGAUAUUGCUACUGUUGAGCACAUCAGCACAUGGGAUAUUGUAUCCCUUCCUCCUCGUGUUCAUCCCAUUUUUUUCGAGAAAACGCAGAGAUAUGCGUUUCUUUGUAUUGAAAAGAGGGAAAGUCAGCCUCCGAGGAGACGAUUACAGCAGGUUACAAGUAAUUUAAUGGACAUCCCAGGAUGGGGGCAAGACUACCCUAAGCCCCUCGUCCCCGGCUCUAGCCCAACACCUCAUCUCAUCUU